GUCAAUGAUCUGAUCACUGAGUAACAAAUAGAUAUACCAGCACUUCCUGUAUGGAUCAGCCGACUAAUUCAAUGAUAAUUGCUCCGACUCUAAGCAUUUUGAAUCUAUAAAUAGAAUAACAAAAGGAAGGAAACGAAAUUUUAAACUGAUUUCCGCCAUUAAAAAAUAACAUGAAACCUACAGUUCACGACACAUCGCAUAGGAAAUUAAAAUAAAUAUUAGGCCUAUAGGUUUAAUAAAUAUUGCAUAGAAUAUAGAAAUUUAGAUCUAGUGUUCUGGUUAGUAGUUAUUUUAUGUUUAUUAGAAUAUAGUCUAGAAUCUAAUCAUACGGCUGCAUAAAAAGAAAGUUUGAAGGAAAUAGAAUAGGAAUCUAGAGAAGCGGAGGUAAGAAGGUUAAAUUAGUAAUUUAUAUGAUUUUUAUUGUAGUUUCACUGUUUGUUAGGCCCAAUUAUUAAAUCUUUAGAUCAGGGGUCCAGCUUGAUCAUGUGUGGUAUCUAUUGUGGUGCAUUGGAAUGAAAAGCCCACAUACUUAAAUAUAGAAUCUAGUAGGCCUAUACUAUACUAUAACUGUACUGCCAUACUUUAAAUUUGUUACCACAAGAAAAAAGUCUAUUUACUAUUAUUAGUUAUAAUUAAAUUAAAUUGAAAUAUUUGUUUAUCUUUAUAGUUUAUAGUGAAUGCAUGCUAAUGAGCAUUAUUCAAGCUGCUGUUAUAUUUAGGCUUCUAGGCCUAUAUACUCUAUAGCUUAGGCUAUAUACUAUACACUAUAUAUUAUAUACCAAUAUUGUGCAUAAAACUUAAAGCAUGUAAGCAUACACAAUAAUAAUUAUCAUUAGACCAAUAGUAACUAAGACUCGUACUAUUUAGUACUACUUUAAUACUACCUUUAAAAUAUUAGGCAUAAUGAAAUAAUGAUUAAUGAUUUCAGUGUUUUCCGCACUCGAGAGGAAAGAGUUUGUAGGGAACUUAGAGACUAAUCUUUGCCAACAUACUGGAUUUCAGGUGAUGACAAUAGCAGCAGAUAGUAUGUGGCUCAGUUAAUACUAAAAACAAUUUAUUUUAGUAAUUAGUGGACUAUGAGUGUGGGUUUGGCCAUCCAGAUUUCAUAAUUCAAUUACAAGAGAUAUUAAACAGUCUACAUGGACUAUACACUGUGCCUAGUUUCAUCCUCAGAGACUGAUGUGUAAGCUUAAAGUAAAGACAUCAAAUCAAAGUAUCAGCCAUCAAGAGGAAGAACAUUCAAAAUCAUAUUGUGAUACACAAAUCAAGCAAGUCUAUGACCAGCAUUAUGAUACAGGCCAAGAAAAAGCUGGAUAUUUGAUUGAAAGGGUGGCACAAAAAAGAUGGGUUAUCACUAGGGAAACAAGCUCGGAAUACAGUUCACUGUUGGGACAUCAAGCCAAAUACUUCUAAACUUAUUUGAAUCAUUUUUGCUGUUUAUUAUAAUUCAUCCAAUUGUCUUAUUAAAUAUAUAAAUUUAUAUAUAUACACAAUUCCUAAUAUAGAAUUUCUAAAAAUGUUUUAUUAUAAUAUUUAAAAAUGAA
Long non-coding RNA from Physella acuta, 1544 nucleotides. RefSeq lists it as uncharacterized. The record is from RefSeq and is a predicted model, not a curated record. Lineage: Eukaryota; Metazoa; Mollusca; Gastropoda; Physidae.